This 495-nucleotide unclassified non-coding RNA is filed under the name Gibellulopsis nigrescens. Its description in RNAcentral is "sequence contains 18S rRNA gene, ITS1, 5.8S rRNA gene, ITS2". The stretch from base 171 to 324 matches the Rfam family "5.8S ribosomal RNA". Lineage: Eukaryota; Fungi; Ascomycota; Sordariomycetes; Glomerellales; Plectosphaerellaceae. The record is from RNAcentral.
CGUUGGUGAACCAGCGGAGGGAUCAUUACCGAGUACUAUAACUCAUAACCCUUUGUGAACCUUUAUACCUGUUGCUUCGGCGGCGCGCCUCUCGGGGCGUGCCCGCCGGCAUUAUCAGAAUCUCUGUUCGAACCCGACGAUACAUCUGAGUGUUCUAAGCGAACUGUUAAAACUUUCAACAACGGAUCUCUUGGCUCCAGCAUCGAUGAAGAACGCAGCGAAACGCGAUAUGUAAUGUGAAUUGCAGAAUUCAGUGAAUCAUCGAAUCUUUGAACGCACAUGGCGCCUUCCAGUAUCCUGGGAGGCAUGCCUGUCCGAGCGUCGUUUCAACCCUCGAGCCCCCGUGGCCCGGCGUUGGGGAUCUGCCCAGGCAGUCCCCGAAAACCAGUGGCGGACCCGUCGGGCCCUUCCUUUGCGUAGUAAUAUCUGCCUCGCAUCGGGAGCCCUCGGGCUAUCCGGCCUCUAAACCCCCCUCAAGCCCGCUCCGGCGGCACC